RNAcentral lists this ribosomal RNA (433 nucleotides) under uncultured bacterium. RNAcentral describes it as "partial 16S ribosomal RNA". It matches the Rfam family "Bacterial small subunit ribosomal RNA", at positions 29 to 507 of the family's 1533-position model. The record is from RNAcentral.
AACGAACGCUGGCGGCAGGCCUAACACAUGCAAGUCGAGCGAGGACUUCGGUUCUAGCGGCGGACGGGUGAGUAACGCGUGGGAAUGUUCCCUUCUCUACGGAAUAGCCCUGGGAAACUGGGAGUAAUACCGUAUACGCCCUUUUGGGGAAAGAUUUGUCGGAGAAGGAUCAGCCCGCGUUGUAUUAGGUAGUUGGUGGUGUAAUGGCCUACCAAGCCGAGGAUCCAUAGCUGGUUUGAGAGAAUGAGCAGCGACACUGGGGCUGAGACACGGCGCAGACUCCUGCGGGAGGCAGCAGUGGGGAAUCUUAGACAAUGGGGGCAACCCUGAACGAGCCAGGCCGGGUGAGUGAUGAAGGCCUGAGGGUUGUAAAGCUCUUUAAGCUGGGGAGAUAAUGACGGUACCAGAAGAAGAAGCCCCGGCUAACUCCGUG